RNAcentral lists this ribosomal RNA (569 nucleotides) under uncultured Bifidobacterium sp. RNAcentral describes it as "bacterial SSU rRNA". It matches the Rfam family "Bacterial small subunit ribosomal RNA", at positions 146 to 709 of the family's 1533-position model. Lineage: Bacteria; Bacillati; Actinomycetota; Actinomycetes; Bifidobacteriales; Bifidobacteriaceae. The record is from RNAcentral.
UCUCCUGGAAACGGGUGGUAAUGCCGGAUGUUCCACAUGAGCGCAUGCGAGUGUGGGAAAGGCUUUUUGCGGCAUGGGAUGGGGUCGCGUCCUAUCAGCUUGUUGGUGGGGUAACGGCCUACCAAGGCGUUGACGGGUAGCCGGCCUGAGAGGGCGACCGGCCACAUUGGGACUGAGAUACGGCCCAGACUCCUACGGGAGGCAGCAGUGGGGAAUAUUGCACAAUGGGCGCAAGCCUGAUGCAGCGACGCCGCGUGCGGGAUGGAGGCCUUCGGGUUGUAAACCGCUUUUGUUCAAGGGCAAGGCACGGUUUCGGCCGUGUUGAGUGGAUUGUUCGAAUAAGCACCGGCUAACUACGUGCCAGCAGCCGCGGUAAUACGUAGGGUGCAAGCGUUAUCCGGAUUUAUUGGGCGUAAAGGGCUCGUAGGCGGUUCCGUCCCCGUCCGGUGUGAAAGUCCAUCGCUUAACGGUUGGAUCCGCGCCGGGUACGGGCGGGCUUGAGUGCGGUAGGGGAGACUGGUAUUUUCCUGGUGUAACGGUGGAAUGUGUUAUAUAUUCGGGAAGAACCC